AGCGAACGCUGGCGGCAGGCUUAACACAUGCAAGUCGAGCGGGCAUAGCAAUAUGUCAGCGGCAGACGGGUGAGUAACGCGUGGGAACGUACCUUUUGGUUCGGAACAACUGAGGGAAACUUCAGCUAAUACCGGAUAAGCCCUUACGGGGAAAGAUUUAUCGCCGAAAGAUCGGCCCGCGUCUGAUUAGCUAGUUGGUGAGGUAAUGGCUCACCAAGGCGACGAUCAGUAGCUGGUCUGAGAGGAUGAUCAGCCACAUUGGGACUGAGACACGGCCCAAACUCCUACGGGAGGCAGCAGUGGGGAAUAUUGGACAAGGGGCGCAAGCCUGAUCCAGCCAUGCCGGGUGAGUGUUGAAGGCCCUAGGGUUGUAAAGCUCUUUUGUGCGGGAAGAUAAUGACGGUACCGCAAGAAUAAGCCCCGGCUAACUUCGUG
RNAcentral lists this ribosomal RNA (435 nucleotides) under uncultured bacterium. RNAcentral describes it as "partial 16S ribosomal RNA". It matches the Rfam family "Bacterial small subunit ribosomal RNA", at positions 29 to 507 of the family's 1533-position model. The record is from RNAcentral.